RNAcentral lists this ribosomal RNA (253 nucleotides) under uncultured bacterium. RNAcentral's name for it is "partial 16S ribosomal RNA". It matches the Rfam family "Bacterial small subunit ribosomal RNA", at positions 524 to 776 of the family's 1533-position model. The record is from RNAcentral.
UACGUAGGGGGCUAGCGUUGUCCGGAAUCAUUGGGCGUAAAGAGCGUGUAGGCGGCUCGGUAAGUCCGCUGUAAAAGUCAAAGGCUCAACCUUUGAAUGUCAGUGGAUACUGCCGGGCUAGAGUCCGGAAGAGGCGAGUGGAACUCCUGGUGUAGCGGUGGAAUGCGCAGAUACCAGGAAGAACACCAACGGCGAAGGCAGCUCGCUGGGACGGUACUGACGCUGAGACGCGAAAGCGUGGGGAGCGAACAGG